UGGCUCAGUGGUUAAGAGCGCUGGCUGCUCCUCCAGAGGUCCUGAGUUCGAUUCUCAG
This 58-nucleotide transfer RNA is filed under the name Rattus norvegicus (Norway rat). It matches the Rfam family "tRNA", at positions 8 to 63 of the family's 71-position model. From Rfam's summary of the family: Transfer RNA (tRNA) molecules are approximately 80 nucleotides in length. Their secondary structure includes four short double-helical elements and three loops (D, anti-codon, and T loops). Lineage: Eukaryota; Metazoa; Chordata; Mammalia; Rodentia; Muridae. The record is from Rfam by way of RNAcentral.